CAGUAGCCGCGGGAAUACGUAGGGUGCAAGCGUUAAUCGGAAUUACUGGGCGUAAAGCGUGCGCAGGCGGUUUGUUAAGACAGAUGUGAAAUCCCCGGGCUCAACCUGGGAACUGCAUUUGUGACUGGCAAGCUAGAGUCUGGCAGAGGGGGGUGGAAUUCCGCGUGUAGCAGUGAAAUGCGUAGAUAUGCGGAGGAACACCGAUGGCGAAGGCAGCCCCCUGGGCCAACACUGACGCUCAUGCACGAAAGCGUGGGGAGCAAACAGGAUUAGAUACCCGAGUAGUCCCUGUCUCUUAUAC
This 301-nucleotide ribosomal RNA is filed under the name uncultured bacterium. Its description in RNAcentral is "partial 16S ribosomal RNA". It matches the Rfam family "Bacterial small subunit ribosomal RNA", at positions 509 to 807 of the family's 1533-position model. The record is from RNAcentral.